Molecule: ribosomal RNA, 467 nt
Filed under: uncultured bacterium
Lineage: Bacteria
Description: partial 16S ribosomal RNA
Rfam family: Bacterial small subunit ribosomal RNA
Source: RNAcentral
GACGAACGCUGGCGGCGUGCUUAACACAUGCAAGUCGAACGGAAAGGCCCUGCUUUUGUGGGGUGCUCGAGUGGCGAACGGGUGAGUAACACGUGAGUAACCUGCCCUUGACUUUGGGAUAACUUCAGGAAACUGGGGCUAAUACCGGAUAGGAGCUCCUGCUGCAUGGUGGGGGUUGGAAAGUUUCGGCGGUUGGGGAUGGACUCGCGGCUUAUCAGCUUGUUGGUGGGGUAGUGGCUUACCAAGGCUUUGACGGGUAGCCGGCCUGAGAGGGUGACCGGCCACAUUGGGACUGAGAUACGGCCCAGACUCCUACGGGAGGCAGCAGUGGGGAAUAUUGCACAAUGGGCGGAAGCCUGAUGCAGCAACGCCGCGUGCGGGAUGACGGCCUUCGGGUGGUAAACCGCUUUCGCCUGUGACGAAGCGUGAGUGACGGUAAUGGGCAAAGAAGCACCGGCUAACUACGU